GCCUGGCAUAGUGGCACACGCUUGUGGUCCCAGAUACUGGGGAGGCUGAGGCAGGCGGAUCGCUUGAAUCCAGGAGUUCCGAGCUGUAGGACGCUAUGCUGAUCGUGUGUCCACACUAAAUUAGUCAUCAAUAUAGUGACCUCCCAGGAGCAGGAUGGGUGAACUGCUCAAGACAGAAACGGAGCCUGUUGAAAACUUCCAUGCUGAUCAGUAGCAGGGUCACGCCUGUGAGGAGCCACUGCACCCCAGCCUGGGCAACAUAGCAAGACCUCGCUCUA
This 278-nucleotide signal recognition particle RNA is filed under the name Neotoma lepida (desert woodrat). RNAcentral describes it as "Metazoan signal recognition particle RNA". It matches the Rfam family "Metazoan signal recognition particle RNA". From Rfam's summary of the family: The signal recognition particle (SRP) is a universally conserved ribonucleoprotein. It is involved in the co-translational targeting of proteins to membranes. The eukaryotic SRP consists of a 300-nucleotide 7S RNA and six proteins: SRPs 72, 68, 54, 19, 14, and 9. The record is from Rfam by way of RNAcentral. Lineage: Eukaryota; Metazoa; Chordata; Mammalia; Rodentia; Cricetidae.